RNAcentral lists this ribosomal RNA (497 nucleotides) under uncultured bacterium. Its description in RNAcentral is "partial 16S ribosomal RNA". It matches the Rfam family "Bacterial small subunit ribosomal RNA", at positions 28 to 507 of the family's 1533-position model. The record is from RNAcentral.
GACGAACGCUGGCGGCGUGCCUAAUACAUGCAAGUUGAGCGCUGAAGGUUGGUACUUGUACCAACUGGAUGAGCAGCGAACGGGUGAGUAACGCGUGGGGAAUCUGCCUUUGAGCGGGGGACAACAUUUGGAAACGAAUGCUAAUACCGCAUAAAAACUUUAAACACAAGUUUUAAGUUUGAAAGAUGCAAUUGCAUCACUCAAAGAUGAUCCCGCGUUGUAUUAGCUAGUUGGUGAGGUAAAGGCUCACCAAGGCGAUGAUUCAUAGCCGACCUGAGAGGGUGAUCGGCCACAUUGGGACUGAGACACGGCCCAAACUCCUACGGGAGGCAGCAGUAGGGAAUCUUCGGCAAUGGACGAAAGUCUGACCGAGCAACGCCGCGUGAGUGAAGAAGGUUUUCGGAUCGUAAAACUCUGUUGGUAGAGAAGAACGUUGGUGAGAGUGGAAAGCUCAUCAAGUGACGGUAACUACCCAGAAAGGGACGGCUAACUACGUG